UACGGAGGGUGCUAGCGUUGCUCGGAAUUAUUGGGCGUAAAGGGCAGGUAGGUGGUCUCAUUUGUCCGGGGUGAAAUCCUUGAGCUUAACUCAAGAAGUGCCCCGGAAACGGUGAGACUCGAGUUCUGGAGAGGGUCGUGGAAUUCCCGGUGUAGCGGUGAAAUGCGUAGAGAUCGGGAGGAACACCAGAGGCGAAGGCGGCGACCUGGACAGACACUGACACUCAACUGCGAAAGCGUGGGGAGCAAACAGGAUUAGAAACCCCAGUAGUCC
This 273-nucleotide ribosomal RNA is filed under the name uncultured bacterium. Its description in RNAcentral is "partial 16S ribosomal RNA". It matches the Rfam family "Bacterial small subunit ribosomal RNA", at positions 524 to 796 of the family's 1533-position model. The record is from RNAcentral.